RNAcentral lists this ribosomal RNA (542 nucleotides) under Craspedacusta sowerbii. RNAcentral's name for it is "partial 16S ribosomal RNA". It matches the Rfam family "Bacterial large subunit ribosomal RNA", at positions 1807 to 2519 of the family's 2925-position model. The record is from RNAcentral. Lineage: Eukaryota; Metazoa; Cnidaria; Hydrozoa; Limnomedusae; Olindiidae.
CCAAAAACAUAGCCCUUGGUUCAACUCAAAGGUGCAGCCUGCCCUAUGGUCUUCAAAACGUUUUGUAAUUAAAACCUAAACCAAGACUAAAUGGCCGCGGUAACUCUGACCGUGAUAAUGUAGCGAAAUCAAUCGUCGUUUAAUUGACGACCCGUAUGAAAGGUUAAACGAAUUUCCCCCUGUCUCGAAAAUAAACGCCAUCGAAAUUGUAUCAGCAGUGAAGAUACUGCUAUCAGAUUGCUAGACGAAAAGACCCUAUAGAGCUUAACUAUAUUCUCGAUCCACAAUGAAUUCUAUAAAAAUAGGAGUGCAUCGAGAGUGGUAGUUUGGUUGGGGCGACCUUCUUCUAUAACAAACGAAGAUAGACAAAGGCAUAUCGAUUUUCAAUAGCUUAAUUGUUUAAUCCAUAAAUUUAACAAAUACUAACGUAGGUAAAAAUGACCCGUUUUCCUUUAAAAAUCAAGAGAACGAUCAAUAAAUAAAAGCUACCUUAGGGAUAACAGCGUAAUCUUGUUCAAGAGUCCUUAUCGACGACAAGGUUU